UCAUCUGAUGAGUCAAUCAACAAUCAACGUCAAGCUAGCUUCGAAAAUUACCAAUGAUUCAUAGGUAAACUCGAGUGAUUUCGUCUGUAAUAACUUGUCGGUGAUGUGUUCUAUUCCGUGUAUAUGUUGGAUAACCUUAAUAUUUUUCAUCAACUCACAGUCAGAGUUUACGUGAAAGUCAUGCAACCUACCGUCAACUAUUUUGUUCAAACUCAUUGUAUUCUACUGAAUGUGUCAGCAAAAUGAUACAGAUCACUGACCCCAGCAUCGAACAAUCUCUCAUUCCAUCUUAUAGAGAAUUUUGGAUAACUGAUUUGUGGUUUCAUGUGUUUCUAAAUUGGCAUGACUGACUAUAUGAGAAGUUAUGUCCUUCCAAGAAAAGGACUUGCAGUCAACAAGAUUCCUUGUUCGCUAACCUGUUGGGGGCUACCCAUGAAUCUCCUUAUUUUUCAACAACAAAAAAAGAGGUUAUAUAUUGUGAUCUUGCUAUCAUCAUUGUAAGUUGUGUUUACAUUGAAUUUAGAGAAGUUGUCAUACUAAUAGCAAUUUUAACGAUUGUUUGGCUUCUUAUUUAGAUGUUGCCUAUAAGACCAAAUGUGGGGCAUCUGGUUCUCCCUCCAAAAUAAGGCAAUGACCACACGUUCAACGCGGAUCAUUCGCUUUGUCAUCGAACUUGACUCAUUCCAUCUUCUGGAUUGCUUAGGAAAGCUGAUUAGUGUUACCUGUGUAACUUCAUUGUUAUGUCACUGAAUUUAAAUUUUGUUUGCAUUUUGUUUCUUGAUUUAGCCAUUUAGGUAAUGACCGAGAAGAUGCGGCCUACAUUAACAUCAUUUAGGCGGCCAGCAUCAUUCGACUACCCAACCGGCUUCUACUACCCUGUUCUCAACACAGCACGGAGUUUUACCCUUAGAUUUUUGGCUGUUCGCGAUGUGUGAUGGCGUUUCCUUGGACGAGAUGAUGAAUUUAGCGAGAAAAAUAUUGCGUUCUAACCUUCAGGUUCCUAAAUAUGAAAAGUAAUGUUCUUUCAAGAAAGUCAACAAGGUUCCUUACUCCCUUGUUUGCUAACCCAAUGGCUGCUACCCUUGAAUCUCUCUAUUUAGCUCCUUACACAGUCCCUCUUGAUUUGAGGGUAAUCCUUCGCUACUGAUCAUGGACUCCAUUGGUGAA
Long non-coding RNA from Daphnia pulicaria, 1167 nucleotides. RefSeq lists it as uncharacterized. The transcript has 5 exons. NCBI's taxonomy places the organism in Eukaryota, Metazoa, Arthropoda, Branchiopoda, Diplostraca, Daphniidae. The record is from RefSeq and is a predicted model, not a curated record.